RNAcentral lists this ribosomal RNA (771 nucleotides) under Allomuricauda sp. ER-18. RNAcentral's name for it is "bacterial SSU rRNA". It matches the Rfam family "Bacterial small subunit ribosomal RNA", at positions 56 to 818 of the family's 1533-position model. Lineage: Bacteria; Pseudomonadati; Bacteroidota; Flavobacteriia; Flavobacteriales; Flavobacteriaceae. The record is from RNAcentral.
UGCAAGUCGAGGGGCAUCACGGAAAAGCUUGCUUUUCUGGUGGCGACCGGCGCACGGGUGCGGAACGCGUAUGGAACCUGCCCCUGUCAGGGGAAUAGCCCAGGGAAACUUGGAUUAAUGCCCCAUGGUAUCGAUAUAUCGCAUGAUAUUUUGAUUAAAGAUUUAUCGGACAGGGAUGGCCAUGCGUACCAUUAGUUAGUUGGUGGGGUAACGGCCCACCAAGGCAGCGAUGGUUAGGGGCCCUGAGAGGGGGAUCCCCCACACUGGUACUGAGACACGGACCAGACUCCUACGGGAGGCAGCAGUGAGGAAUAUUGGACAAUGGGCGGGAGCCUGAUCCAGCCAUGCCGCGUGCAGGAUGACGGCCCUAUGGGUUGUAAACUGCUUUUAUACGGGAAGAAAUGCGCCCACGUGUGGGCGUCUGACGGUACCGUAAGAAUAAGGACCGGCUAACUCCGUGCCAGCAGCCGCGGUAAUACGGAGGGUCCGAGCGUUAUCCGGAAUCAUUGGGUUUAAAGGGUCCGUAGGCGGGCCUGUAAGUCAGGGGUGAAAGUUUGUGGCUCAACCAUAAAAUUGCCUUUGAUACUGCAGGUCUUGAGUCAUGGUGGGGUCGCCGGAACAUGUGGUGUAGCGGUGAAAUGCAUAGAUAUCACAUAGAACACCGAUCGCGAAGGCAGGUGACCAACCAUGUACUGACGCUGAUGGACGAAAGCGUGGGUAGCGAACGGGAUUAGAUACCCCGGUAGUCCACGCCGUAAACGAUGGAUACUA